CGGGGUGUGGCCUAGCGGCAAGGCGCCUGCUUUGGGAGCAGGAGAUCGGCAGUUCGAAUCUGCCCACCCCGACCA
RNAcentral lists this transfer RNA (75 nucleotides) under Chloroflexota bacterium. Its description in RNAcentral is "Chloroflexi bacterium tRNA-Pro". It matches the Rfam family "tRNA". Rfam says of the family: Transfer RNA (tRNA) molecules are approximately 80 nucleotides in length. Their secondary structure includes four short double-helical elements and three loops (D, anti-codon, and T loops). RNAcentral also lists the same sequence under 1 other name. The record is from RNAcentral. Lineage: Bacteria; Bacillati; Chloroflexota.